Molecule: ribosomal RNA, 488 nt
Filed under: uncultured bacterium
Lineage: Bacteria
Description: partial 16S ribosomal RNA
Rfam family: Bacterial small subunit ribosomal RNA
Source: RNAcentral
GAUGAACGCUAGCGGCAGGCCUAAUACAUGCAAGUCGGACGGGAUCCAUUGAUAGCUUGCUAUCAAUGGUGAGAGUGGCGCACGGGUGCGUAACGCGUGAGCAACCUGCCUCCAUCAGGGGGAUAGCCUCUCGAAAGAGAGAUUAACACCGCAUAAUAUCAACAGUUCGCAUGUUCAGUUGAUUAAAUAUUUAUAGGAUGGAGAUGGGCUCGCGUGACAUUAGCUAGUUGGUAGGGUAACGGCUUACCAAGGCGACGAUGUCUAGGGGCUCUGAGAGGAGAAUCCCCCACACUGGUACUGCGACACGGACCAGACUCCUACGGGAGGCAGCAGUAAGGAAUAUUGGUCAAUGGGCGGAAGCCUGAACCAGCCAUGCCGCGUGCAGGAUGACUGCCCUAUGGGUUGUAAACUGCUUUUGUCCAGGAAUAAACCUAAAUACGAGUAUUUAGCUGAAUGUACUGGAAGAAUAAGGAUCGGCUAACUCCGUG